This 425-nucleotide ribosomal RNA is filed under the name uncultured bacterium. RNAcentral's name for it is "bacterial SSU rRNA". It matches the Rfam family "Bacterial small subunit ribosomal RNA", at positions 356 to 773 of the family's 1533-position model. The record is from RNAcentral.
GGGGAAUCUUGCGCAAUGGGCGAAAGCCUGACGCAGCGACGCCGCGUGGGGGAAGAAGGCUUUCGGGUUGUAAACCCCUUUCAGGAAGGACGAAGCCACUCGGGUGAACAGCCCGGGGAGCUGACGGUACCGCUAACGGAAGCCCCGGCUAACUCCGUGCCAGCAGCCGCGGUAAUACGGGGGGGGCAAGCGUUGUUCGGAAUUACUGGGCGUAAAGGGCUCGUAGGCGGCCAACUAAGUCAGACGUGAAAUCCCCAGGCUCAACCUGGGAACUGCGUCUGAUACUGGAUGGCUUGAAUCCGGGAGAGGGAUGCAGAAUUCCAGGUGUAGCGGUGAAAUGCGUAGAUAUCUGGAGGAAUACCGGUGGCGAAGGCGGCAUCCUGGACCGGCAUUGACGCUGAGGAGCGAAAGCUAGGGGAGCAAAC